RNAcentral lists this long non-coding RNA (215 nucleotides) under Lathyrus oleraceus (garden pea). RNAcentral's name for it is "Pisum sativum (pea) long non-coding RNA (PSAT_LNC006633)". The record is from RNAcentral. Lineage: Eukaryota; Viridiplantae; Streptophyta; Magnoliopsida; Fabales; Fabaceae.
AUGCUAGGUGAGUAGCGUGCAUUUCAUGGCCCAUUUGGGGUGGUAGCUAAUUCCCAUGGUGAGGAAUUAGUGAGUGAGUCACUAUGUCUCAAAUGAGUGGGACUAGUGAGCUUGGUAGCCGUGCCUGGAUUUGGACGGUGAGGUUGAACUAUAUGUUCACAAAUAGUCGGUACCGCAUGCAUAGAGUCUCAUUGCAUAAUGAAUGUAUGGCAUAU